UUUAUAUGAAUUUUGGAGCUUCAAAGUUCUGGCCACCAUUCACUUGCAUUGUGAUGAUUUACAGGGAGGAUAUAUUCUUCUAAAAUCUUUGUGUUCAGCAGAAGAAAGAAAGUCACAAACAUCUGGGAUGGAAUGAGGAAAAGAGAUCACACUGCUCAUGAACGAACUGGAUGAGGAUAAGAAGGUGCGCUUGUCACUGCAAACUGAUGUAGAACGGCAAAAGAAGCACAUGUCGAAGUGAGCCAGUGCUGAGAAGCGGUGAAACCACACAGAUAUGCUACGGUGACUCUGAAUGGACAACUCAAGUGUGGAAAUAAAAAAACUGCAAAAGCUUGCAGAAGAACUCAAGAAAAACGGCACUUGAGAGUUUAUGCCAUGACUAAUGCCAUGGCAUUUAUAUAUAGUGUCAAAUGUUUUUAAAUUCUAACAGUGGACUGUAACUAGUAAGAGAGAAUCAAUGAAAAUAAUGUAUUUUGUUAAUGUUUGGACCUCAUUGUUUCAGAGCUAAUACUUCAUUCCAUCUUCAUGAUGCAUCUCAUGUUGUAUUAUGAUUGCAAAAUAACUGAGAAACUCUUUGUGUGUAGGAGGAUUCUGA
Molecule: long non-coding RNA, 595 nt
Organism: Myxocyprinus asiaticus (Chinese sucker)
Lineage: Eukaryota; Metazoa; Chordata; Actinopteri; Cypriniformes; Catostomidae
Exons: 3
Source: RefSeq, a predicted model, not a curated record